Molecule: ribosomal RNA, 496 nt
Filed under: uncultured bacterium
Lineage: Bacteria
Description: partial 16S ribosomal RNA
Rfam family: Bacterial small subunit ribosomal RNA
Source: RNAcentral
AUGAACGCUGGCGGCGUGCCUAAUACCUGCAAGUCGAGCGAACAGACGAGGAGCUUGCUCCUCUGACGUUAGCGGCGGACGGGUGAGUAACACGUGGAUAACCUACCUAUAAGACUGGGAUAACUUCGGGAAACCGGAGCUAAUACCGGAUAAUAUAUUGAACCGCAUGGUUCAAUAGUGAAAGACGGUUUUACUGUCACUUAUAGAUGGAUCCGCGCCGCAUUAGCUAGUUGGUAAGGUAACGGCUUACCAAGGCAACGAUGCGUAGCCGACCUGAGAGGGUGAUCGGCCACACUGGAACUGAGACACGGUCCAGACUCCUACGGGAGGCAGCAGUAGGGAAUCUUCCGCAAUGGGCGAAAGCCUGACGGAGCAACGCCGCGUGAGUGAUGAAGGUCUUCGGAUCGUAAAACUCUGUUAUUAGGGAAGAACAAAUGUGUAAGUAACUAUGCACGUCUUGACGGUACCUAAUCAGAAAGCCACGGCUAACUACGUG